Globicephala melas (long-finned pilot whale) is the source of this 237-nucleotide non-coding RNA. Lineage: Eukaryota; Metazoa; Chordata; Mammalia; Artiodactyla; Delphinidae. The record is from RefSeq and is a predicted model, not a curated record.
GUGGAUACUGCCGAGAGGGCGUACAGUACUCUGGGGCUCACAACAUGACAAGAACCAUCAUCACUGGUAUUGUGGGACACUUGCUCUUUGGACACUCCAUCUUGAAAUCGAUCUACUAUGCCAUGGGAAGCCCAAGCCACACAGAGAGGAAGAAUAACAUAGUAUUUGAGAGAAGAAGCCUUGAAGUCAGACUCCCUGGGUUCUAGUUUGGGCUCUACCACAUAGUUGGCCUUGGGU